UCCAACUUUAAUUCAUCCAACUCCAAUAAGUUUUGAACUAGUGAUUCGAUAUACUCAUCAUCACUUAACUUAUGUUGCAAACACACUCUGAUCGAUUGCACGUUAAUUUUCAUAGGCAAAACGGCCUCCUGUCCAUAAGUUGGAAAGGAGUAAUUUUGGUACUUGACCGAGGCGAUGUCCUAUAAGCCCAUAAGGCCUUGUUUAGACAUUCG
RNAcentral lists this long non-coding RNA (212 nucleotides) under Olea europaea (common olive). RNAcentral describes it as "long non-coding RNA (OEUR_LNC000958)". Lineage: Eukaryota; Viridiplantae; Streptophyta; Magnoliopsida; Lamiales; Oleaceae. The record is from RNAcentral.